CAGGCUUCGGUCAAAGACACAUGUUUUCUCUCUAGCUCCACGUGCGACUCACAUGUCUAUUCACCACGACACAAGAUAUAUGAGAGAAGCAGCCAGACGGAGGAAAUAUCUUCAUUUACAUAGAAAAUCAAAAAUAAAAUCCCAGAUGGCAAGAAGAGAAACGAACAUGUAAUCUUGCGAGAAAAGUAUUAAAAAUAACCGGUAACAAAUAUGGAUGCAUAAAGGCCCUCGGAUCAGAGAUAAAAUGUUUAUGAAGCAGAUUUUCUACAGCCAGAUGCUCUUCUUCUCAUCACCAACUCUCAUCUGAUUCUGAGCCUGGUAAUAUUUCCCCAUGACCAACUAUUGUUAGGGAAGAUGAAAUGGAGGACACCACAUGCAUGUCGGUGAUAUUCGUUUACAACAAUCACAUGAA
Long non-coding RNA from Octopus bimaculoides (California two-spot octopus), 412 nucleotides. RefSeq lists it as uncharacterized. The record is from RefSeq and is a predicted model, not a curated record. Lineage: Eukaryota; Metazoa; Mollusca; Cephalopoda; Octopoda; Octopodidae.